This 253-nucleotide ribosomal RNA is filed under the name uncultured bacterium. Its description in RNAcentral is "partial 16S ribosomal RNA". It matches the Rfam family "Bacterial small subunit ribosomal RNA", at positions 524 to 776 of the family's 1533-position model. The record is from RNAcentral.
UACGUAGGUGACAAGCGUUGUCCGGAUUUACUGGGCGUAAAGAGCGCGCAGGCGGUCGUUCAAGUCGAGUGUGAAAGCCCCCGGCUCAACUGGGGAGGGUCACGCGAUACUGGUCGACUCGAAGGCAGGAGAGGGUAGUGGAAUUCCCGGUGUAGUGGUGAAAUGCGUAGAUAUCGGGAGGAACACCAGUGGCGAAGGCGACUACCUGGCCUGUUCUUGACGCUGAGGCGCGAAAGCUAGGGGAGCAAACGGG